AAGAAGGCCGGGCGUGGUAGCUCACGCCUGUAAUCCCAGCACUUUGGGAGGCCAAGGCGCGCAGAUCACGAGGUCAGGAGUUCCAGACCAGCCUGGCCAAUAUGGUGAAACCCUGUCUCUAGUAAAAAAAAAAAAAAAAAAAAAAAAUUAGCUGGGCAUGGUGGUGGGCGCCUGUAGUCCCAGCUACUCGGGAGGCUGAGGCAGGAGAAUGGCAUGGACCCGGGAGGUGGAGCUUGCAGUGAGCCAAGAUCGUGCCACUGCACUCCAGCCUGGGCAACAGAGCGAGACUCCGUCUCAAAAAAAAAAA
Molecule: long non-coding RNA, 307 nt
Filed under: Homo sapiens (human)
Lineage: Eukaryota; Metazoa; Chordata; Mammalia; Primates; Hominidae
Description: HSALNT0315264
Source: RNAcentral